Non-coding RNA from Pelobates cultripes (western spadefoot toad), 492 nucleotides. NCBI's taxonomy places the organism in Eukaryota, Metazoa, Chordata, Amphibia, Anura, Pelobatidae. The record is from the annotation of a GenBank genome assembly.
GUUUAUUCUUUGUAAAAACAUUGACCGGGUUACCUAAAUUGAGAAAUGUUGUGAAAUAGCAACUUGUAUGACAAAAUAGCCAACUUGGAUGAAAGACGAGACAGGGGGGAUAUGAUAGAAACAUUUAAAUACAUAAAGGGAAUCAACACAGUAGAGGAGGAGAAAAUAUUUAAAAGAAGAAAAACUACCACAACUAGAUAACAUAGUCUUAAAUUAGAGGGGCAAAGGUUUAAAAAUAUUUUCAGGAAGUAUUACUUUACAGAGAGGGUAGUGGGUGCAUGGAAUAGCCUUCCAGCUGAAGUGGUAUUGGUUAACAAUGUGAGGGAGUUUGAACAUGUGUGGGAUAGGCAGAAGGAUAUCUUAGCUAUAAGAUUAGGCCAGGGACUAAUGAAAGUAUUUAGAAAAUUGGGCAGACUAGAUGGGCCGAAUGGUUCUUAUCUGCCAUCACAUUCUAUGUUUCUAUGUAACUUACAAUACAAAACAUCUUGUAAG